AGCAGAUCCUAAUAGUAAUGCAGAAUUUGCCACAGCAUGUCUGUGGAGGUCGGCCACCACAGGAAUCGGCCCUCUCCUUUCGCCACUGGGAGUCCAGGGUUAGAACUCUGGCUAGGAGCUUUGGCGGGUAUUUGUAAGAACAAGCCGAACCGAACUCUGCCUCCUGCCGGGUGUCCCUGCUGCUGAGAUCCACAUCCUUGCCUUGGGAUGGAAGAAGGAAAAGUUGAUGAAUUCCCGCUUUGUGGCUGCGUGGUGACCGCGAACAGCUCUCUUCUCUUUAACCACGCCCCACAGCUCCGCUCAUGGUGUUCAAAGGACAGGCUCUCUCUUUAGCAUUCUGUUGUGAAUCUGUGCCAUCUCUUCUUUAUCCGCUUAUCACUCAUGGACACUUAGCUGAUUCUACACUUUCUUUACUAUUGUGAAUUGUUCUUCAGGGAACAUGGGGGUUCAGAUGAUGUAGUGACCGUAUUUUUAAAUUUGGGGUGGGGGGGCUUCACGACGUUUCCCAUAAAAGCCGAACCAGUUUGCCUCCCACCUGUGGUGUGCAUGUUCCUUUCCUCCAUCACUUCUAAUAUUUAGUCUUUCUGGUAACAGCUAGCAUCACAGGACUAAGGUGAUGUCUCACAGUGGUUUGGAUUUGCAUUUCUUGUUUCGGUUUGCUUGUUUGUUUUUUCAGGACAGGGUCUUUCUCUGUAGUCUUGGCUGCCCUGGACUGGAUUUGUAGACAGGGCUGGCCUCGAACUCACAGAGACCCACCUGCUUCUGGCUCCCUGGGUGGUGGGAUUACAGGUGGGUGCCAUUGCAUGACUGGAGACGGACUAUCAUGUAGCCCAAACUUGCUAUGUAGCCCAGGAUGAUUCUGGACUUCUGAGUGCUGGGACAGGCAUGUGUUACUACACCUGGUUUUAUAUAGAGCUGGGGACUGAACCAGGGCUUCAUGGAUGCUAGGUAAGUACUCUACCAGCUGAGCAACACUGCCAAUCCAAUUAAAAGCAUCUAAGAAAUGAUGCUUUUAAGUUUAAUUGAUGAUUAUUGUGAAUUGUGAAAAAAAAUAUUUUUAGGGCUGGAGAGAUGGUUCAGUGGUUAAGAACAUGGCUGCUCCUCCAGAGAUCCUGAGUUCAAUUCCCAGCAACCACAAGGUGGCUCACAACAUCUACCUUGGGGUCUGAUGCCCUCUACUGGCAUGCAGGUGUACAUGCAAAUAGAGCACUCAUACACAAAAAGAUUUAUUUAUUAUUUACACAAUAUUCUGCCUGAAUGUAUAUCUGCACGCCAGAAGAGGGCACCAGCUCUCAUUACAGAUGCUUGUGAGCUACCAUGUGGUUGCUGGAAUUGAACUCAGCACCUUUGGAAGGACAGCUAGUGCUCUUAACCUCUGAGCCAUCUCUCCAACCCCAAGUAAAAUCUUUAAAACAUUUUUAUUUUUAAACAAGAUCUAACUUUGUGUUUUAUUUGUUUUUCAGGUGUGUACAGAUACCCAGGGAGGCCAGAAGAGGGUGUCAGAUCCCCUGGAGCUGGAGUUACAGGGGGUUGUGAGCCUUCCAACAGGGGUGCUGGGAACUGAACUUCCGGCCUCUGGAGGAGCAGCAAAUGCUGCACCAUUGCUCUAGAGCCUUUAUUUUUUUUGAGACAGGGUCCUGUUAUAGCCCAGGCUGCUUUCUGACUCAAUAAGUAGCUGAGGAUGAUCUUGAACUCCUGAUUCUCCUGUCUCCACCUCCUAAGUGUUGGAAUUACAAGCAUGUUCCACUGUACCAGGCUUGAUUAACAUUUACUGAAAAAGAAGCGGAGUUAAUUCACGCUUUCUGUGCCUUCCCACUAUACCCUAAGUUCAUGAGUCCUAUUAAACAGGUGGCUGAACUUUGUCUGUGUGCUCAUAGGAAGACCAAGAGUAUUCUACAACGGGAGGAGAAAAUUACAGACAGCACAAACACUAGGAGGGGUUUGCUGAACAGAAGAGUAACAAAUGAUCUGAAGCACCGAGAAUUCUGCGUAAGGAUAUCUGAGGAUUUUAUCAUUCCACAAUAGGGCAGCUUCUUUAGUCCAAAAAUUCUACCAGGGAACUCCUACAGCUGAUAAACACCUUCAGCAAAGUGGCCGGAUACAAAAUUAACUCAAAAAAUCAGUAGCCCUCCUGUAUACAAAAUACAAAAGGGCUGAGAAAGAAAUUAGGGAAACAGCGCCCUUCACAAUAGCCACAAAAGACAUAAAUUACCUUGGUGUAACCCUAACCAAGCAAGUCAAAGACUUGUAUGAAAAAAAUUUCAAGUCUCUGAAGAAAGAAUUAGAAGAAGAUAUCAGAAGAUCGAAAGAUCUCCCAUUCUCAUGGCUUGGCAGGAUUAACAUAGUAAAAAUGGCCAUCUUACCAAAGCAAUCUACAGAUUCAAUGCAAUUCCCAUCAAAUUACCAACACAAUUCUUUACAGACAUGGAAAGAAAAAUUCUCAACUUCAUAUGGAAUAACAAGAAAUCCAGAAUUGCUAAAACAAUCCUCUACAAUAAAAGAUCUUCUGGAGGGAUCUCCAUUCCUGAUCUUAAGUUGUACUAUAGAGCAACAGUUUUAAAAACUGCAUGGUACUGGCAUAAAAACAGAAUGGUGGAUCAAUGGAACCAAACAGAGGACCCAGAAAUAAACCCACACACUUAUGGACACCUGAUCUUUGACAAAGAAGCCAAAACCAUACAAUGGAAAAAAGAUAGCAUCUUCAACAAAUGGUGCUGGCCUAACUGGAUGUCUACAUGUAGAAAAAUGCAAAUAGAUCCAUACUUAUCACCCUGCACAAAACUAAAGUCAAAGUGGAUCAAGGACCUUAACAUAAAACCAAAUACCCUAAAUCAAUUGGAAAAAAAAGUGGGGAACAGCCUAGAACUCAUUAGCACAGGAGACAACUUUUCCUGAACAGAACACCAACAGCACAGGCUCUAAGAGCAACAAUCAAUAAAUGGGACCUCAUGAAACUGAAAAGUUUCUGUAAAGCAAAGGACCCCGUAAUCAAAACAAAACAACUGCCUUGUUUUGAAGAUUGAGAAAGAAUCUUCACCAACCCUUCAUCUGACAGAGGACUCAUAUCCAGUAUAUAUAUAAAGAACUCAAGAAGCUGAAAAGCAGCAAACCAAGUAAUCCAAUUAAAAAACGGGGAACAGAGUAUUAGUGCUGUUCUUAAGGGACUCACGGUCAGUCACGGUUACAUGGGUAGUUAGACAAGUCAGGAUGAAAAUGUAGAUGCCAAAGCAGCCAUGUUAGCAAACACAUGUGAUCCCAGCACUUGUGAGGUGGAGG
This is a long non-coding RNA of Meriones unguiculatus (Mongolian gerbil), 3276 nucleotides long. RefSeq lists it as uncharacterized. The transcript has 3 exons. The record is from RefSeq and is a predicted model, not a curated record. NCBI's taxonomy places the organism in Eukaryota, Metazoa, Chordata, Mammalia, Rodentia, Muridae.